Molecule: long non-coding RNA, 1774 nt
Organism: Solea senegalensis (Senegalese sole)
Lineage: Eukaryota; Metazoa; Chordata; Actinopteri; Pleuronectiformes; Soleidae
Exons: 4
Source: RefSeq, a predicted model, not a curated record
AAAAUGUUGAAAUGCACUUAUUGUAAGUCGCUUUGGAUAAAAGCAUCUGCCAAAUUACAUAUAAUGUAAAGGAAUAUGACAACAAUGAGUUAUCCGAGGAUGAUGAUGAGGAAUAUGACGACGAAGAAGAAGCAGAGAGAACAUGUUAAAAUCCUGCAAGCAACAUGGAGCUGGAGCUUUACUAAGUCAUUGAGAUGGAAAAAAAAAACUAAUUGAGGUGUUCAGAAAAAUGCAGAACUGUGUAGUUUUUCAUCACACAACCUAUUGCAAACUCAACAUAUACUUUUGGUUGGAGUUUUCUUUCGAAAUGAAAUACUUUUUUUUACCGUUAGGAGUUUUUGAUGAUGUAACCCUCCCAUUUAUCCUGGCUUGGGACAGACACAGGGAAUUCAGUACACUACAUGGGAGGAACCCAUGUUACUUUUGACAUGGGAUUUUGAGUCUCAUUCACUGUUCACUCCCGUUACAUUUGAAUAAAAUUGGACUGAUAUCAAGUGCAUGUUCCCUUGUGUUGGAUGAUUCUGGUUUCUUUAAAUGUGGGAAAGAGCCACAUUAAGUCCUAUCAUUUAGUUGUACUUUAUGCUAAGUUUAGCUUGACAUACUAGUUAUUUAUAAAAGGUUAAUUUUACAGCUGUUAUAAAUAGGUAACACAUCAUUAAAAUAACAGCAGCUGGUGUAGCAUUAGGAGAUGUUUUGCUUAAAAGUACAGUGUGUAAAAUGUAUCAACAUAAUUUGGUGAGGCUGCAUGUUGCAUAUAUAAAUAUGUUAAUUAUUUUCCAUUGUAAAAACAUGGUGAAUCCAGCAUCCAUGGCGAAACUCCAAGACAACCCACCGCCUGUCCUUAGGAUCACCCGUAAAAGAAGGCGCUCAAGCUGCCCUGUGGUGCCACCAAACACUGACGACCAUCCCUACAGUAAGAUGCUUUCCAUCUUUCCUCCCAAAGUCUAAGCAUUUCUUUCAUCAACCACACAGAUCUUCACUCUCCAUCAUGCUUAUCUGUGUAUCCAUUCAGGCCAGUGAUGUUACUGUGGCCAAAAAUGUUGCCAGCCUAGAUGACACGUCUUCCAAGAGUCUUGUGGAAAGGGCCCAACAAGCCAAACAGUAAUGACGUGAAUCCAGUUGGCUGUUCAUUCAUUUCAUUACCCAGGAUGAAGGCAUGCUGCAACACCUUAAAAAAAUCAUCAGAGGCAACAUUGUGUCUCCCUGGGCCAAGGAGGAGGACAGGGUCUUCAUUCUUUUUGAAGAUGAUGAACAAGUGGACCAGAUGUUGCACUUCUUGUCUGGAGUCCUUGAAAGUACACUGACAGAUAAGAAGUCUGCAGAUUCAGUGGCUUUAAUCAUGGAUGUACUUUUGCCAGAGGUGAGAUAUCAGACACUGACACUGAUUUUUAGGCUACAUAUUUUAUAUGUUUCCCUUUAACACAUGGUCGCUGUUCAAGACAAUCUUAAAUCUAAAUCUUCAUGACACAGGUAACGAUUUAUGCCCUUGCACCUGUACACUUCAUCUUCUCCCUGGACAAAGCCAAAGAGAUGUACAAAUGUGGAACUCAGUUUGACUCGAGGGAAAAUUAGAUAGUUUAGGAAACUGUUAAUCCAAUUUUCACGACAGUUUAUAUCCCUUAAUGUAUGUGAGUGUCAUUAAUUACUUAAUUAUUUUGUUAUAUAACUUUGCCUUAUCAGCAAGAUAAGACUUCAGCUUCAGAGCUGAGCAGAGUUUACUCUCAUCCUGUUUCUGUUUUUUAUUGUUGUUUGUUUGUUUUAUAAAGUGUUGAAA